UGGGGAAUCUUGCGCAAUGGGCGAAAGCCUGACGCAGCGACGCCGCGUGAGUGAUGAAGGCCUUCGGGUUGUAAAGCUCUGUGGGGAGAGAAGAAUAAGUGCGGGCUAAUACCCCGCAUGAUGACGGUAUCUCCUUAGCAAGCACCGGCUAACUCUGUGCCAGCAGCCGCGGUAAGACAGAGGGUGCAAACGUUGUUCGGAAUUACUGGGCGUAAAGCGAGUGUAGGCGGUUUGGUAAGUCGGAUGUGAAAGCCCCGGGCUCAACCCGGGAAGUGCAUUCGAUACUGCCAAGCUAGAGUAUCGGAGAGGUUGGUGGAAUUCUCGGUGUAGAGGUGAAAUUCGUAGAUAUCGAGAGGAACACCGGUGGCGAAGGCGGCCAACUGGACGAAUACUGACGUUGAGGCACGAAAGCGUGGGGAGCAAACAGGAUUAGAUACCCCAGUAGUCCCUGAGCGGGCUGGCAAGGCGCAU
This 471-nucleotide ribosomal RNA is filed under the name uncultured bacterium. Its description in RNAcentral is "bacterial SSU rRNA". It matches the Rfam family "Bacterial small subunit ribosomal RNA", at positions 355 to 825 of the family's 1533-position model. The record is from RNAcentral.